UAAGCCUUUGGAGCCUGGAAAAACACCUCUUUGAUUUUGGCAACCAGCUUGUCAUGUGGAGGGAGAGUUUCCUUAAUCAAAGGGCUGUCCUUCAGCUUAGCCACCCACCAUAGAAAAGCUGGAUGCUUUUUUGGGUCAAAAACCACAGUCACAGCCUCUUCAAAAGCUCGAUAAUUGCAAGCAUGUGUGCCAACAACGAUAUCAAGAAAUCCCAAGGUCUCACCGUUGAAAGGAAAUUUUAUUGAGAAAUCUUUCUCGAUGCCUUUUUC
RNAcentral lists this unclassified non-coding RNA (269 nucleotides) under Hevea brasiliensis (rubber tree). The record is from RNAcentral. Lineage: Eukaryota; Viridiplantae; Streptophyta; Magnoliopsida; Malpighiales; Euphorbiaceae.